AUUGAACGCUGGCGGCAGGCCUAACACAUGCAAGUCGAACGGUAACAGGAAACAGCUUGCUGUUUCGCUGACGAGUGGCGGACGGGUGAGUAAUGUCUGGGAAACUGCCUGAUGGAGGGGGAUAACUACUGGAAACGGUAGCUAAUACCGCAUAACGUCGCAAGACCAAAGAGGGGGACCUUCGGGCCUCUUGCCAUCGGAUGUGCCCAGAUGGGAUUAGCUUGUUGGUGGGGUAACGGCUCACCAAGGCGACGAUCCCUAGCUGGUCUGAGAGGAUGACCAGCCACACUGGAACUGAGACACGGUCCAGACUCCUACGGGAGGCAGCAGUGGGGAAUAUUGCACAAUGGGCGCAAGCCUGAUGCAGCCAUGCCGCGUGUAUGAAGAAGGCCUUCGGGUUGUAAAGUACUUUCAGCGGGGAGGAAGGGAAUAAAGUUAAUACCUUUGCUCAUUGACGUUACCCGCAGAAGAAGCACCGGCUAACUCCGUG
RNAcentral lists this ribosomal RNA (490 nucleotides) under uncultured bacterium. Its description in RNAcentral is "partial 16S ribosomal RNA". It matches the Rfam family "Bacterial small subunit ribosomal RNA", at positions 30 to 507 of the family's 1533-position model. The record is from RNAcentral.